UACGGAGGAUGCGAGCGUUAUCCGGAUUUAUUGGGUUUAAAGGGUGCGUAGGCGGAUCAAUAAGUCAGUGGUGAAACCCUGCAGCUUAACUGUAGACUUGCCGUUGAUACUGUUGGUCUUGAGUAUGGUCAAGGUAGGCGGAAUGUGUAAUGUAGCGGUGAAAUGCUCAGAUAUUACACAGAACACCGAUUGCGAAGGCAGCUUGCUGGGCCAUUACUGACGCUGAGGCACGAAAGCGUGGGGAUCGAACAGG
RNAcentral lists this ribosomal RNA (253 nucleotides) under uncultured bacterium. Its description in RNAcentral is "partial 16S ribosomal RNA". It matches the Rfam family "Bacterial small subunit ribosomal RNA", at positions 524 to 776 of the family's 1533-position model. The record is from RNAcentral.